Small nucleolar RNA from Lotus japonicus, 93 nucleotides. RefSeq annotates it as small nucleolar RNA snR60/Z15/Z230/Z193/J17. The record is from RefSeq and is a predicted model, not a curated record. Lineage: Eukaryota; Viridiplantae; Streptophyta; Magnoliopsida; Fabales; Fabaceae. The transcript has a single exon.
AAGGGUCAUGUGAUGAUUAGUAGCAUAGUUCACAUGAUUAAUCUGUGAUUACACUAAUCUUUUUAAGUCUUUCGCUCCUAUCUGAUGAUCCCU